RNAcentral lists this transfer RNA (75 nucleotides) under Candidatus Alectryobacillus merdavium. RNAcentral describes it as "tRNA-Gln". It matches the Rfam family "tRNA". Rfam says of the family: Transfer RNA (tRNA) molecules are approximately 80 nucleotides in length. Their secondary structure includes four short double-helical elements and three loops (D, anti-codon, and T loops). The record is from RNAcentral. Lineage: Bacteria; Bacillati; Bacillota; Bacilli.
UGCCUCGUGGGCAAGUGGUAAGCCAGGUGGCUCUGAACCACCGAUGCCAAGGUUCGAAUCCUUGCGAGGCAGCCA